AUCAACUUUCGAUGGUAGGAUAGAGGCCUACCAUGGUGGUAACGGGUAACGGGGUGUUAGGGCACGACACCGGAGAGGGAGCCUGAGAAACGGCUACCACAUCCAAGGAUGGCAGCAGGCGCGCAAAUUACCCAAUCCCGACACGGGGAGGUAGUGACAAUAAAUAACAAUACGGGGUUCUUUCGGAUUUCGUAAUUGGAAUGAGUACAAUUUAAAUCUCUUAACGAGGAACAAUUGGAGGGCAAGUCUGGUGCCAGCAGCCGCGGUAAUUCCAGCUCCAAUAGCGUAUAUUAAAGUUGCUGCAGUUAAAAAGCUCGUAGUUGAAUUUCGGGACCAUCAUGUCGGUCGUGCCUCGGUACGUACUGGCAUUGUUGGUUUCUCCCUUCUGACGAACCAUGAUGUCAUUUAUUUGGUGUCGUGGGAAAUCAGGACUGUUACUUUGAAAAAAUUAGAGUGUUUAAAGCAGGCUCACGCUUGAAUACAUUAGCAUGGAAUAAUGAAAUAGGACGUUUGAUUCUAUUUUGUUGGUUUCUAGGAUCGACGUAAUGAUUAAUAGGGAUAGUUGGGGGCAUUAGUAUUCAAUUGUCAGAGGUGAAAUUCUUGGAUUUAUUGAAGACUAACUACUGCGAAAGCAUUUGCCAAGGAUGUUUUCAUUAAUCAAGAACGAAAGUUAGGGGAUCGAAGACGAUCAGAUACCGUCGUAGUCUUAACCAUAAACUAUGCCGACUAGGGAUCGGAUGAUGUUAAUUUUUUAAUGACUCAUUCGGCGCCUUACGGGAAACCAAAGUGUUUGGGUUC
RNAcentral lists this ribosomal RNA (798 nucleotides) under uncultured Glomeromycotina. Its description in RNAcentral is "SSU rRNA". It matches the Rfam family "Eukaryotic small subunit ribosomal RNA", at positions 314 to 1114 of the family's 1831-position model. Lineage: Eukaryota; Fungi; Glomeromycota. The record is from RNAcentral.